This 97-nucleotide ribosomal RNA is filed under the name Bacillus fengqiuensis. RNAcentral describes it as "partial 23S ribosomal RNA". It matches the Rfam family "Bacterial large subunit ribosomal RNA", at positions 2828 to 2925 of the family's 2925-position model. The record is from RNAcentral. Lineage: Bacteria; Bacillati; Bacillota; Bacilli; Caryophanales; Bacillaceae.
GUAAGAUCCCUGAAAGAUGAUCAGGUUGAUAGGUCAGAGAUGGAAGCGUGGCGACACGUGGAGUUGACUGAUACUAAUCGAUCGAGGACUUAACCUA